Molecule: unclassified non-coding RNA, 214 nt
Filed under: rhizosphere metagenome
Description: partial ribosomal RNA internal transcribed spacer region
Source: RNAcentral
GUAGGUGAACCUGCGGAAGGAUCAUUACAGAGUUCAUGCCCUCACGGGUAGAUCUCCCACCCUUGAAUAUUAUACCUUCGUUGCUUUGGCAGGCCGUGGAAACACCAUGGGCUCCGGCUGAUGCGUGCCUGCCAGAGGAAACAAACUCUGUUUUUAGUGAUGUCUGAGUACUAUAUAAUAGUUAAAACUUUCAACAACGGAUCUCUUGGUUCUG